CCUACGGGAGGCAGCAGUGGGGAAUUUUGGACAAUGGGCGCAAGCCUGAUCCAGCAAUGCCGCGUGAGUGAAGAAGGCCUUCGGGUUGUAAAGCUCUUUUGUCAGGGAAGAAACGGCUGAGGUUAAUACCUUUGGCUAAUGACGGUACCUGAAGAAUAAGCACCGGCUAACUACGUGCCAGCAGCCGCGGUAAUACGUAGGGUGCAAGCGUUAAUCGGAAUUACUGGGCGUAAAGCGUGCGCAGGCGGUUUUGUAAGUCUGACGUGAAAUCCCCGGGCUCAACCUGGGAAUUGCGUUGGAGACUGCAAGGCUGGAGUCUGGCAGAGGGGGGUAGAAUUCCACGUGUAGCAGUGAAAUGCGUAGAGAUGUGGAGGAACACCGAUGGCGAAGGCAGCCCCCUGGGUCAAGACUGACGCUCAUGCACGAAAGCGUGGGGAGCAAACAGGAUUAGAUACCCUGGUAGUCCACGCCCUAAACGAUGUCUACUAGUUGUCGGGUCUUAAUUGACUUGGUAACGCAGCUAACGCGUGAAGUAGACCGCCUGGGGAGUCGGUCGCAGAUUAAAACUCAAAGGAUUGACGGCUGGAGAGAGACGACGACGACGACGAGGGAGGAGG
RNAcentral lists this ribosomal RNA (617 nucleotides) under uncultured bacterium. Its description in RNAcentral is "bacterial SSU rRNA". It matches the Rfam family "Bacterial small subunit ribosomal RNA", at positions 338 to 951 of the family's 1533-position model. The record is from RNAcentral.